Molecule: ribosomal RNA, 554 nt
Filed under: uncultured bacterium
Lineage: Bacteria
Description: partial 16S ribosomal RNA
Rfam family: Bacterial small subunit ribosomal RNA
Source: RNAcentral
UGGGGAAUUUUGGACAAUGGGGGAAACCCUGAUCCAGCCAUCCCGCGUGUGCGAUGAAGGCCUUCGGGUUGUAAAGCACUUUUGGCAGGAAAGAAACGUCGCGGGUUAAUACCCCGCGAAACUGACGGUACCUGCAGAAUAAGCACCGGCUAACUACGUGCCAGCAGCCGCGGUAAUACGUAGGGUGCAAGCGUUAAUCGGAAUUACUGGGCGUAAAGCGUGCGCAGGCGGUUCGGAAAGAAAGAUGUGAAAUCCCAGAGCUUAACUUUGGAACUGCAUUUUUAACUACCGGGCUAGAGUGUGUCAGAGGGAGGUGGAAUUCCGCGUGUAGCAGUGAAAUGCGUAGAUAUGCGGGGGAACACCGAUGGCGAAGGCAGCCUCCUGGGAUAACACUGACGCUCAUGCACGAAAGCGUGGGGAGCAAACAGGAUUAGAUACCCUGGUAGUCCACGCCCUAAACGAUGUCAACUAGCUGUUGGGGCCUUCGGGCCUUGGUAGCGCAGCUAACGCGUGAAGUUGACCGCCUGGGGAGUACGGUCGCAAGAUUAAAACUU